RNAcentral lists this small RNA (617 nucleotides) under Pongo abelii (Sumatran orangutan). RNAcentral describes it as "retained intron". Lineage: Eukaryota; Metazoa; Chordata; Mammalia; Primates; Hominidae. The record is from RNAcentral.
CACUGAGAGGUAGUGGUGCUUAGGGCAGUAGCAGGUUUCUUUUUUAAAGGCAGAGAGGAAUCAAGGAACAGAAGCCCUUGAGAGGCCUUAAAAAUCAUUCCUUUGAAUUCCUUCCCCUCCCCCCAAUACACAUUCCUGUGUCUGGAACUAAAAUGUUGACUCCAACUUGAGCCUGUUUCCCCUCAUCCGUCUUUUUUUGUGGGGGUGGCGGCCCUGCAAUGCACUUAUCACCUGUUCUUUCGGAAAACGCAGCUGACAUAACCUUGCCUUUCCAUUCCCCAGGCGGGAGGCAGCACCGGGCUCUUGAUGGACUUGGCAGCCAAUGAGAAGGCCGUUCAUGCAGACUUUUUUAAUGAUUUUGAAGAUCUUUUUGAUGAUGAUGACAUCCAGUGAGAUGCCCUCUGGCUGCAGGUGGGGCCAAGCCCUUGGUACAGAGCCGCAGUGUGAGCCUGCGCAGGACAGUUUCAGGUGGUUUUAAAGAACACGUGGCAAUCCCUUGAAUUUAGGACCUGGUUAACCAAGAAAGAUAAGAAUGUUCUUAACGACCUAGAUGAGGCUGUUCGUCUCUGAAUGUGAUCAGGUUUUGUCCUCACUCCAAUUAAAAGAAAGCAAUGUCA